Molecule: long non-coding RNA, 577 nt
Filed under: Panax ginseng (ginseng)
Lineage: Eukaryota; Viridiplantae; Streptophyta; Magnoliopsida; Apiales; Araliaceae
Description: long non-coding RNA (PGIN_LNC008002)
Source: RNAcentral
UUACUUGAACAGGUAUCUUCGACUGCUCUCCUCUCAUCCUCUGCGCGACUUGAACAGGUAUUUUUCUUCUCUUUUCCUCUUUCUUCUCCUCGUCGAUCGUAUCUUCUUCUCUUCUCUUUCUUCUCCUCUUCGAGAUCGACUUCGCCUCUCCUCUUCUCCUCUUUUAUCUCCUCUGCGCGAUUGUCUUUGCGACUUUGAGUCGCGUCUCUUCUUUCUUCUCCUCUUCCCGAUCGACUGUUUUCUUCUCCUGUUAUGUGAUCGACUGUUUUCUUUUUCUUUAUCUUAUUCGGUGUUCUGUGAUAGACUGUUUUCUUUUUCUAUAUCUUAUUCGGUUUUCUUUUUCUUUAAUUUCUAUUAAACUUUUUUAAUUUUUGUUAAGGUUUUUUAAUUUCUGUUAAAAAAAUUUAAUUUCUGUUAAACAAAUUUAAUUUCUGUUAUAGUUUUAAUUUAAUUUCUGUUAAACAAAUUUAAUUUCUGUUAUAGUUUUAAUUUAAUUUCUGUUAAACAAAUUUAAUUUAAUUUCUGUUAAACAAAUUUAAUUUCUGUUAAAAAAAUUUAAUUUCUGUUAAGGUUUUUU